CUCCUGAAGGUUCCCAUAUCACUAAGGUCAAGAAUCCGACCAUAAUGUUUAUCUGAAUACAAGCAAGUCUCCUGAAGGUUCUCAUAUCACUAAGGUCAAGAAUCCUGCUGUAAUGUUUAUCUGAAUACAAGCAAGUCUCCUGAAGGUUCUCAUAUCACUAAGGUCAAGAAUCCGAC
Eriocheir sinensis (Chinese mitten crab) is the source of this 176-nucleotide long non-coding RNA. RefSeq lists it as uncharacterized. NCBI's taxonomy places the organism in Eukaryota, Metazoa, Arthropoda, Malacostraca, Decapoda, Varunidae. The record is from RefSeq and is a predicted model, not a curated record. The transcript is spliced from 3 exons.